GAUGAAGAACGUAGCGAAAUGCGAUAAGUAAUGUGAAUUGCAGAAUUCAGUGAAUCAUCGAAUCUUUGAACGCACCUUGCGCUCCUUGGUAUUCCGAGGAGCAUGCCUGUUUGAGUGUCAUUAAUAUAUCAACCUUCUCUUUUUUGAGUUGUUUGGAUGUGGGGGUUUGCUGGCCUCUUAAAUGAUUCAGCUCCCCCGAAAUGCAUUAGCAGAACAACCUGUUCAUUGGCGUGAUAAUUAUCUAUGCUAUUGAAUGUGAGGGCAGUUCAGCUUUCUAACCGUCCUUGGACAAUUCAUCAUUAAUGUGACCUCAAAUCAGGUAGGACUACCCGCUGAACUUAAGCAUAUCAAUAAGCGGAGGA
This 362-nucleotide unclassified non-coding RNA is filed under the name soil metagenome. Its description in RNAcentral is "partial contains 5.8S ribosomal RNA, internal transcribed spacer 2, and large subunit ribosomal RNA". The stretch from base 1 to 120 matches the Rfam family "5.8S ribosomal RNA", at positions 35 to 154 of the family's 154-position model. The record is from RNAcentral.